Molecule: long non-coding RNA, 1565 nt
Organism: Macaca fascicularis (crab-eating macaque)
Lineage: Eukaryota; Metazoa; Chordata; Mammalia; Primates; Cercopithecidae
Source: Ensembl
UUUUUUUUUUUUUUUUUUUUUUUUUGAGACGGAGUCUCGCUCUGUCGCCCGGGCUGGAGUGCAGUGGCCGGAUCUCGGCUCACUGCAAGCUCCGCCUCCCGGGUUCACGCCAUUCUCCUGCCUCAGCCUCCCGUGUAGCUGGGACUACAGGCGCCCGCCACCUCGCCCAGCUAGUUUUUUUUUGUAUUUUUUAGUAGAGAUGGGGUUUCACAUCGUGUUAGCCAGGAUGGUCUCGAUCUCCUGACCUCGUGAUCCGCCCGUCUCGGCCUCCCAAAGUGCUGGGAUUACAGGCUUGAGCCACCGCGCCCGGCCCAGACUUCUUCUAAGAGCUUUGCAUUUCACAUGCAUUAACUCACUCACUGCUCACAUCAGACCCAAACAUCAUCACCCUUUUACAAAUGGGGAAACUGAGGCUCAGAAAUGCUAAGCCACCUGCCUCUGAGGCAAGGGGAGGAGCUGAGAUCUGAACAUAGGCAGCACUGAUUCCAUCUCAUACUGCUCUGCCCCUCCUUAAGGACAUGCCUUAUGGGUCAGCGAUCAUAAAUACAGCUUUCAUCUUAUGCCUCCAAAGCACAUGCAUGGCCAUGGCCUGAUGUCACUGGAUCCUGCCAGGAAUCAUACAGCACAGACGUCUUUCUCCCCAUAUCCCAGAACCCCCUUAACAGACCUGCCAGGGAUCGCUGAGCUAGUAAGGUCUAAAAUCAGAGCAGCCAGCUGGAUUUGUGGACUGCUUACCCGUACUCGGCCCUUCCGCGAACGCUGCAUAACGCUUCUCCCUGCACCUUCCUCCGCCCACCAACCCAUCUGUGUCCCUCUAAAAAUAUGUACUUCGCCUUAUCCCUAUGGAAAUUCUCUCUCUCCUCCUUCUUCCUCUAAUCUUCUCUUUGCAGGGAGGAUAAGGGCCAAGACAUUGCAGAGAGGAUAAGGGCCAAGACCCAGUAGCAUAGGGUGCCAACACAGGCCAUGUGCACAGAAGGCAGGGUGGGUGGUUCUGGGCGGCCGCCUGUGCUCUGUGCACUUGAGGCCUAUUGGGGCUGGGACCUGGUUCCCUCCCAGGCCACUCCUGUGUCCUGCUCUCCCUCGCCAAGCCCCUUGGGUCUCUGCUUCCCAGGAAUGGAAACCACAGCUCCCCUUUUCAACCCUUUUGAGCUCCAAACUCCUAUUCUAAGACCCCUCCUUCCAGGAUGAUCUUUCUGACAAGGACAUCUAGCACAUGCCAGCCAGGCUGGGUGUUGCAGCUGCAGGCUCUUGAAUGAGAAUGCUGGGGUCCAAAUCCUGGCUGUGUCACUGACUUGCAGUGUGAUCUUGGGCACAUUACUAGACUUCUCUGUGUCUCCAUUUCUCAUCUGUGAAUGGGGACAGCAAUGACACCUGUCUCACAGGGUUUGGGGAGAAAAUGAAGGAAUCAUGUAAAUGCCUCAUGCAGUCCCCAGCACUGAACUCCACUCCACUGGUGCUUGUUGGAAGCUAGUGGCUGUGAGGUGGUUGCCACAUGGGUCAUUCUUACCCCGGGGUGGCUGUAGAUUUUAGAGAAAGCAAAAUGAAAGUUUUCAGGCCACACAUAC